AAUUCGAUUGAGUUUGAUCAUGGCUCAGAACGAACGCUGGCGGCGUGGAUAAGACAUGCAAGUCGAACGGGAUUUAUUUUGUAGCAAUACACGAUAGGUCCAGUGGCGUAAGGGUGCGUAACACGUGGGCAAUCUGCCGAGAAGUGGGGGAUAGCUCGCCGAAAGGCGAAUUAAUACCGCAUGUGGUCAGUGCUGGAUUCAGCGCGACACCAAAGCCGGGGCAACCUGGCGCUUCUUGAUGAGCCCGCGGCCUAUCAGCUAGUUGGUGAGGUAACGGCUCACCAAGGCUAUGACGGGUAGCUGGUCUGAGAGGACGACCAGCCACACUGGAACUGAGACACGGUCCAGACACCUACGGGUGGCAGCAGUCGAGAAUUUUUCUCAAUGGGGGAAACCCUGAAGGAGCGACGCCGCGUGGAGGAUGAAGGUCUUCGGAUUGUAAACUCCUGUCAUUUGGGAACAAUGUGCAUUGAUUAACUGUCGGUGCAUUGAUAGUACCAGAAGAGGAAGAGACGGCUAACUCUGUGCCAGCAGCCGCGGUAAUACAGAGGUCUCAAGCGUUGUUCGGAUUCAUUGGGCGUAAAGGGUGCGUAGGUGGCGGGGUAAGUCAGGUGUGAAAUCUCGGGGCUCAACCCUGAAACUGCACUUGAUACUGCCUUGCUCGAGUACUG
RNAcentral lists this ribosomal RNA (671 nucleotides) under uncultured bacterium. RNAcentral describes it as "bacterial SSU rRNA". It matches the Rfam family "Bacterial small subunit ribosomal RNA", at positions 1 to 651 of the family's 1533-position model. The record is from RNAcentral.